This 492-nucleotide ribosomal RNA is filed under the name uncultured bacterium. Its description in RNAcentral is "partial 16S ribosomal RNA". It matches the Rfam family "Bacterial small subunit ribosomal RNA", at positions 29 to 507 of the family's 1533-position model. The record is from RNAcentral.
AGUGAACGCUGGCGGUAGGCCUAGCACAUGCAAGUCGAACGGCAGCACAGUAAGAGCUUGCUCUUACGGGUGGCGAGUGGCGGACGGGUGAGGAAUACAUCGGAAUCUACUUUUUCGUGGGGGAUAACGUAGGGAAACUUACGCUAAUACCGCAUACGACCUACGGGUGAAAGCAGGGGAUCUUCGGACCUUGCGCGAUUGAAUGAGCCGAUGUCGGAUUAGCUAGUUGGCGGGGUAAAGGCCCACCAAGGCGACGAUCCGUAGCUGGUCUGAGAGGAUGAUCAGCCCCACUGGAACUGAGACACGGUCCAGACUCCUACGGGAGGCAGCAGUGGGGAAUAUUGGACAAUGGGCGCAAGCCUGAUCCAGCCAUACCGCGUGGGUGAAGAAGGCCUUCGGGUUGUAAAGCCCUUUUGUUGGGAAAGAAAAGCAGCAGGUUAAUACCCCGCUGUUCUGACGGUACCCAAAGAAUAAGCACCGGCUAACUUCGUG